Molecule: non-coding RNA, 22 nt
Filed under: Rattus norvegicus (Norway rat)
Lineage: Eukaryota; Metazoa; Chordata; Mammalia; Rodentia; Muridae
Source: RNAcentral
UGUCAUUUAAAGGUCACUCAGC